This 301-nucleotide ribosomal RNA is filed under the name uncultured bacterium. Its description in RNAcentral is "partial 16S ribosomal RNA". It matches the Rfam family "Bacterial small subunit ribosomal RNA", at positions 509 to 809 of the family's 1533-position model. The record is from RNAcentral.
CAGUCGCCGCGGGAAUACGUAGGGUGCGAGCGUUAAUCGGAAUUACUGGGCGUAAAGCGUGCGCAGGCGGUUCGUUAAGACAGAUGUGAAAUCCCCGGGCUCAACCUGGGACCUGCAUUUGUGACUGUAUAGCUAGAGUACGGUAGAGGGGGAUGGAAUUCCGCGUGUAGCAGUGAAAUGCGUAGAGAUGUGGAAGAACACCGGUGGCGAAGGCGACUCUCUGGUCUGUAACUGACGCUGAGGAGCGAAAGCGUGGGUAGCAAACAGGAUUAGAGACCCCUGUAGUCCCUGUCUCUUAUAA